UCCUCUAUUCCUAUUACCGAUUAAGGACCCACCGGCGAAAAUAUGUCUCCUCCCGGAGGUGGCGGAGCCUCUCCAGUAAAAGCAUUCCUGAGCUCCUCUAUUUCGGCGGUCAGAUCCAGAGAAGAGUCUGAGAGAUCCAUGGACUCGCGAGCCUCGUUUCCAACCCCACGCCUUGAAUGAAACCCUAGUACCUAUCGAAGAAGAGCCGGGGGGCAAAAUCUAAU
This 224-nucleotide long non-coding RNA is filed under the name Brassica rapa (field mustard). RNAcentral's name for it is "long non-coding RNA (BRAP_LNC004943)". The record is from RNAcentral. Lineage: Eukaryota; Viridiplantae; Streptophyta; Magnoliopsida; Brassicales; Brassicaceae.